UUUCUUCUGUUUAAGUUAGGGGUUGGAUGAGAUUGGCCAUUCUCAGUGACAGGCCAGCUGUGGUUUUCUAGAGAGCAAUUAAAAGAUUUUGAAGAGGUUACUUUAGCAGGAAGAUUAAGUUCAGUUGGUCACACACUCUGCUGUGUGAGAGACAGCCCUGGAGAGCCUUUAACCACUGCUGACAGAUGGCCCCUGAGUUCCUUGGUGCUCAUAGUGAGAAGGUCUGAAUUAUGUCCCUGGUAGAUGCAUCCUUAUUAGAUUAGCAGAGUGAAAUAGAGCUCCUGUUUCCCCUUCACACACUCUCUGCUUCCUUGGCAUGGCUUUGAUGUCACAAAUAGAUUUUAGAGGCAUGGACUGACCUCCUCCACAGUUACUUCUAUGCCAAGACCUGCUGCUUUUCAUCAUCCUCAACAGCUGAACAGAGCAUGUUUUCAUAAGGGAACAUUGGUGUCCAAGAACAUUUCCAGUGAAAGAAGCAGGUUACUGAGUCUUCCAGCUGGGACAGAUUGGGGAGGAGAGCCCAAGAAUCGGGGAAGAUGCAGAUGAAAGACACAGUAUGGGAUAUUCCUUCAACACAUGACUAGAGUAGAGCUGCUUUCCUAUAGGGAGAAGGCAUGGGGUCUGUAUAACUGCAUCACAGAAUGGUUGAAGCUGGAAGUGAUCUCUGGAGGUCACCUUGUGUUACCUGCUCAAACAGGGCCAUCCAUAACCCAUAGCUCAGGAGCUGCUCAGGACCAGGCUCUUGUACACCCCUGGGAAGGAGACUCCACAGCCUCUCUGGGC
Non-coding RNA from Cyanistes caeruleus (blue tit), 783 nucleotides. The record is from RefSeq and is a predicted model, not a curated record. Lineage: Eukaryota; Metazoa; Chordata; Aves; Passeriformes; Paridae.